Molecule: ribosomal RNA, 440 nt
Filed under: uncultured bacterium
Lineage: Bacteria
Description: partial 16S ribosomal RNA
Rfam family: Bacterial small subunit ribosomal RNA
Source: RNAcentral
CCUACGGGUGACAGCAGUGGGGAAUAUUGCACAAUGGGGGAAACCCUGAUGCAGCGACGCCGCGUGAAGGAAGAAGUAUUUCGGUAUGUAAACUUCUAUCAGCAGGGAAGAAAAUGACGGUACCUGAGUAAGAAGCCCCGGCUAACUACGUGCCAGCAGCCGCGGUAAUACGUAGGGGGCAAGCGUUAUCCGGAUUUACUGGGUGUAAAGGGAGCGUAGACGGCAGUGCAAGUCUGGAGUGAAAGGCGGGGGCUCAACCCCCGGACUGCUCUGGAAACUGUACGGCUGGAGUGCAGGAGAGGUAAGUGGAAUUCCUGGUGUAGCGGUGAAAUGCGUAGAUAUUAGGAGGAACACCAGUGGCGAAGGCGGCUUACUGGACUGUAACUGACGUUGAGGCUCGAAAGCGUGGGGAGCAAACAGGAUUAGAUACCCUUGUAGUC